AGACUACUCCCUCAGUCCGAAAAUACUUGUCAUUGAAAUGGAUAAAAAAAGGAUGUAUCUAGAACUAAAAUACGUCUAGACACACCUUCUUUUAUCCAUUUUGAUGACAAGUAUUUCCGGGUGGAGGGAGUACCAU
Molecule: non-coding RNA, 136 nt
Organism: Triticum aestivum (bread wheat)
Lineage: Eukaryota; Viridiplantae; Streptophyta; Magnoliopsida; Poales; Poaceae
Source: Rfam